This 433-nucleotide unclassified non-coding RNA is filed under the name soil metagenome. RNAcentral describes it as "partial contains 5.8S ribosomal RNA, internal transcribed spacer 2, and large subunit ribosomal RNA". The stretch from base 1 to 120 matches the Rfam family "5.8S ribosomal RNA", at positions 35 to 154 of the family's 154-position model. The record is from RNAcentral.
GAUGAAGAACGCAGCGAAAUGCGAUACGUAAUGUGAAUUGCAGAAUUCAGUGAAUCAUCGAAUCUUUGAACGCAUAUUGCGCUCUCUGGUAUUCCGGAGAGCAUGCUUGUUUGAGUAUCAGUAAACACCUCAACUUCCAUAUCUUUUUUUGAAAUGGGAGUUGGACUUGAGUGAUCCCAACGCUUUUCCUCACCGAAAAGUGGCGGGUUACUUGAAAUGCAGGUGCAGCUGGACUUUUCUCUGAGCUAUAAGCAUAUCUAUUUAGUCUGCCUAAAAAACAGAUUAUUACCUUUGCUGCAGCUAACAUAAAGGAGAUUAGUUCUUGUGCUGACUGAUGCAGGAUUCACAAAGACAGCUUCGGCUGACUUUGUAAACUCGAUCUCAAAUCAAGUAAGACUACCCGCUGAACUUAAGCAUAUCAAUAAGCGGAGGA